AAUAAUCCAAUGUGAUAAAUUAUUAAUUUACAUACAUAACUCAUGUAUCUCAUCCUAUUGUUUAAUCAUGUAUUGUUAUCUAAUAAACUCUCUUUACUGUUUUCUUUUAUUUUGUAGGAUGAGGAUUGAACCUUGGAGAUACCGAUUCCAGUAAAGUAAGAUAAAAAGUAGAAUUGGAUUCCAAUUUUUCCAAUUUUCGGGUUGAAAAAAGUUGGCAUAGUAGUUGUAAGAAAAUUGCUUAUCAUCUAUAUCAUUGCUUGCCAUGGUGCUAUCAAUUUUUGAAAGUGUGAUGAACACAAAAUGAGUAAUUAGCUAAACAUAACAACACAUACGAACUGAAGAUAUAUACAAUUAAAAUACAACUGAUUGAGAUAUAUAUUGUCAAUAAAUUAAAGGCAACAGAGGUUCGAAAGUAAAAUAAAAGAAAAAUACACAUAAGAAGCAGCCGCCAUUUAUUGGACAAGUUUAUAGAAACCGACGAUAUGAUCAACAAGCCGUCGUGGGAGGCGGCGGGGCAGUAAAUAAAAAUCAGACAACAUAACCUUUGCUCAUCAUGUACUUUACGAACUGAUCGAUCUCUUCCUCGCCAAGCUUUCCAUCUCUGUUUCGAUCUGCGUGACACAGAGCACUGUAAGCGAGAUGAACUGGCAUUUCAGCGUCCAGUUUCUUCAAUGCGUUCUUGAUCUCGAACAAUCCUAAUCCUCCGUCUUCAUUCGUAUCCAUUUGGUUAAAGAUCUGUCUCAGUUCUUUGGCAGAGUAGGCGCUUUCCGACGAGACGGGCGGUGAAUUCGAUUUCGUUUUUGGACGGAACAUCGACGACAUGGUUCUGUAGUUGAUUGUGGUUUGGGAAAUUGGGGAGUUGGAUUUGAUUUGAUUUGUUGUUGAAAAUGGAAAGUGGGGGAAUAGGGGAAUUUAUAGAGAAAAAUGGAAAUUAAUGGCGGUGAUUAGAGAAUUGAGAUGCGGAGUUAUCUUUGUGUUCUGUAUUGGGAUUGGUGCGGCUACAAAAUUGGAAUCCAAUUCGGCUUUAGAGUGUCGUACAAUUUAGGAACUGUGCUUUGUGAUGGAUUUCAACGGCUGACUCUGUUUUUAGUUUGAAGUUUAAACAUUCAAAAACACGUUAGAAUGUUGAUGAAAUGUCAUCGGAUUUUGACGUCUAGAGUAAGACGGUGAUUAUUUAAGUAUAUGAUUUAAAAGAAUUUAUACAAUACUUUUGAUUUUGAAAUUUUAAUUAUUCUCGAUUAAAAUAAUUCAUUUUUCUAAAGUAAAGUAGGUUCCUUGGGUCUCAAGGUAAAGAGUAAUAUAUUUUAUUAAUGAAUGUCGAGGUGCUCUCUCUAAUCUUUUUUCACAACAUAUAUAAUUAAAAAGGCAAAUUAAUAUACUUUUUAAUCAUAAGAUCAAAUUAGUUUGAAAUAUUUUGAUUAUUCAACUAUUUUUAAUUAUUAUAUUCAAGAAACACUCGUAAAAAUAUCAAAUUUUCUUCUUUUUAAUGAUAAUAAAAACUCAUGUCACUAUAUUUUUUAAAUUACAAAAAAAGUAAAUUUAAAAGAAGAUAACUCUCUAGUCUUUUAAUAGUCGCAUUUGCUAUAUUAACAAUAUGCAGAAGAGAUUCGUGAGAAGUGGUUUUUUUCUUAAAAAAAUUAUGUAACUUUUUUAUAUUUUAGUAUAUAGUUUUCUUAAAAGGUUUUAGAAGCAACAACAAAAAAAUGUUUUUCUUUAAAAUUCCAUAAAAGCUUGGAGGGAAUGAAGGAAAGCAUGUAAGAAAUUUCCCCUUUCCUUUUUUUAUAUUAAUUUUCUCCCGCAAAGUUUAAUCAUUUAACUUCAAGGAUAGGUCCAAUAAUAUUCGGAAAAAAGAAAGCAUAUAUUAAUAAUUAUAAUAUAUUGCACUCAUCAAUCUUUGGUUGAAUUAUUCAACAUUUGACCACAUUGUAACAAAGGAAUCUCACUUGUCUUUAAUAUUACAAUUGAAUUGCACCUUUCAUUGGAACUAAUGGAAAUAAAUGUUGUUUUUGUUUUGUUAUAUAUAUAGUCACAUCCCAAAUCACACUGCACCAAAAUAACGAUGCUGUAGGAAUAGGAUGUGAGUUAGUUAUAAUCUUGGAAUUUCUUAUUGCAAAUCUUAUUAUUAAUAACAGAUGUUUCAUACAUAAUUACGAUACUUUGACCAAAUAACUAAUGCUUAACCAUUUCCAAAACACCUUGAAUCACAUUGCUGCAAAUCCUUCAGCCUUCUUCUUUACUUGACCCAAAUGCCUGAUCCUGAAAGAUAGAUUUUUAAAACGUAAAUCUAAAAAACUUAGCGAGGUCUUAUGAAAAUCCUUCGCAAUACCAUUUCAUAAUCAUCUCACAAAAAUAAUAUCAAAUCAUUUAAACAUACCGACAAAUCAUUUCAUUUCACAUAAACCUUUCUUUAUACUUAACAAAUCAUUUCAUUUCGCCAAGCAUUCUGAAUCGUUAUCUACGCUUUGUCUCAUUAUCUCGCGUUUAAACUAUUGUAUUAACAACAUCUGAGAACAUACAAAUUCGUCAUUGUUGCUCAGGCUGCUAAGCUUUAUACGCUCAUUUCAACGCAUAAGCCAACUUCUUAUCACCAUGUAGUCCAUACACUUCAUGGUGGCUUUGACUCUAUAUGCUCACAUAAAAGUUAACAUCAUCUCAAAGAAAUAACUGUUGGUUUGAAAACCAUUUUAUAGUAUUGAAAUCAUAAUAUCAAAUCAAGCUUUAACGUUAUAAAUCAUGCUUGAAAACAUAACUUUUUAUAGGAAUAUCUUUUAAACAUUCUCAUUUGAAUUUUUAUUUCAAAUCAGUAAAGAGAAAUCUUAAUAAAGUUUUUAACAUAAAUUCAUUUGAGAGAAAACAUUCACAAAACUUUACUAAACACUCUCAUUUGAAUUUUUCUUUCAAAUCAGUAAAGAGAAAUCUUAAUAAAGUUUUUAACAUAAAUUCAUUUGAGAGAAAACAUUCACAGAACUUUACUAAACAUUCUCAUUUGAAUUUUUCUUUCAAAUCAGUAAAGAGAAAUCUUAAUAAAGUUUUUAACAUAAAUUCAUUUGAGAGAAAACAUUCACAAAACUUUACUAAAGAAGUCCUUAUUCUUCUUCUCGUAUGGUUAAUCUAACACUUCAACAUUUCAACAAAACUCUCAUCAUCCUCUCCUUAGUUAAUAAAAUUCUCUUAUUUAUAGGAUCCUUAAACUAACUUAGUCAUGCAUAAACUUUUCUUAGUUUACCAACUUCUGCUUAAAACUUUACAUGUGUAAAUUUAAUAUUAAAUCUAGUCAUGCUUAAAUCCUUAAUCUUACACGUCUCUGUCAAAUCAGAUUUGAUAUUUUCUUCGCCAGACCUUGCUUAUCGCCUAACCCAAACUGCGAAUAACUUCAACCACUUAACAUUUCUCAUCAAUAAUCUUAGCAGAUGGUUAUAUUUUUACUAUAAGAAACAUUAAUCACAAACUAACCAACUUUUACUCGCAUAGAACUCUUAUCGCGAACUUAAACUUCAAAGCUUUUCUUGCAGACUUCUUCCCCGCGAAACACUUGGUUCUUCUCGCGAAGACUACCCAAAACACUUAGUCAAAUACAAUUAAAUUUUUCACUUCUUAACUUAUGCGGAGACUUUUUCUUUUCUUAUCGCACAAUUUCUUGAACUACCCACUUAAUUGCAAAAACGUAUAUUAAACCAUAAAUUUUUUUAUCGUUUAAUCAUUUUCGCAGAUUUAUUCAAAUGUUAACUUCUUAAUCAAAUUUUACUUUUUUUUACUCAAAUUAAAAGUGAAUCUUACAUAUAUCUUAAGAGUCUAUUGACAAUUAAAUGUUUUUUUUAGAUUGAACAUGUAUAUUUUCACUCUCCCCAAUAAUUUUUAGUAUAACAAUAAGAUUUGAACCUUUCAUUUUAAGAUAGAAAGUCAUAUUAAAUAUUGUUGAGUUGAGUUCAUUUUUUACUUAUACCCCAUAUUUGUUGUGUCGGAAAAGAGUUGGGUUUUAAUUUUUAGUUAAAUUAUAAGUUUAUAGUAACUUCUAUAUAAAAAAUAAGUUGAUUAGUUUAAAAAAAUUAGAAGUACAGUCAUGCAUUCAUAUUUUAAUUAAAAAUGCAUCUUUCUUUAAAAAUGAAAUUACAUUUUUUUGGGAAUUAUAUGUGAUUUAAAUAUUGUUUGGGAUUGAAAGUGUUAAUUAUUCUUAUUUCUCAAUUAAGAAUAUUUCUUUUUCUAAAGUAGCUAUAUCUCCCUCAUCAAUCUCUCCUUUUGCCAUGUCAAGAAUAUAUAUUUCUUUUGUGGUGAUGGUCGAGAAAACACUACCGACCUAAGUUAAAUUUGCCUAACUCAAUCUAUAACGAAGAGAAAAACUAGAUGGUAUUUGAAUUGUAUUUAUGUUUGCACGUCUAUCAAAAAAUUAUCACGUGGAUGCAUAUAACUUUAUUAAAAAGGUAAAAUAAGAUUAUAAUUAUCGUCCUAUUUAAAAUUAAUUAAUAUGCAUGUAGUAUCUUACAUUUUAGAAUUAAGGUUGCUAAAAAAAAUUGAUUGCUCAAUUACUUAUUAUUUCUUAAAUCAAUCAACUUUAUUUGUUUGGUUGCAAUUUCAAUUAAGUGAUCAAUUUCAUAGGUGGUCAAGUUUGGGACAAAAGCUUCGAGGGAAUAAAGCAAAAAAAAGUAGGAUAUUUCAAUUUCUUUUAAUCAUUCAACUUCAUCCAUAAAUCCAUUAAUAAUAUUCGGACAAAUGAAAAGAUAUUAUAUUCCACUCAUUAAUGGUUGGUUGAAUUGUAAUGAACAUUUGACCAUAAUGUAACAAAGUAACCACUAAAUUAGAGAUGCACAAGUAAAAUUACUCAAAAUUGUGUGUUAAAUUUUCCAAUUGAAAGGCAAUUUGAUGGGAACAAGCUUUGCCAAAUUUGAUAUCUGUCUCUUACAAACAAAAGGAAGAGAAGGCAUAGGUUGACUCUCUUUAGUAACUUUGAAUAUGAUUCUUGAUAACUUUGGAUCGGCUAUGCUGAUUUUAUUAUAUAGAUUCAUCAUUCUUGUGAGCAAGCAAUUGUAGAAGAAAAGUAUUUGGAUACAUCACGAAUCAUACUAAUCUUUAUGCAACACACUCGGAUCUUUUGGUGAGAUAUGAGAAUUCUGUGUCUCUCUCUUUCAAAUUCCGUCAUAACUUGACCAAUAGGAAAACGACGAAGGUGACCUCUCUUCUUUCCUUACUUGAGGGGUGGAUGCUCUCAUAAAGAGGGGAGAAGGGAUGCUUGUGUUUGGAAUCUUAAUCUCAGUCAGGGUGUCACUUGUAGGAUCUUGUUUCCUUUAAGGAGCCGAUUUUUGAUGUGGUGUGGAGGACUAAGGUUCUUUAUAUGACAAGUUUUGCUUGGUCGGGUUAAUACUGUUGAUAGGGCUUGUUAAGAGGAGGACUUCACUUGUUGAACCUUUUGUUGUAUGUUGUGUCGGAUAUGGGCGGAGUAAAAUCUUGAUCAUCUCUUUUGAGAUUGCUAGUUGUAAGGGUUGUGUGGUGCUCCUUCCUUCAAGAGUUUGGUGUUAGCUUUGCUUGUUUGAGGAGUAUUAUAGCGAUGAUCGAGAAGUUUCUUCUCCAUUCACCUUUCAGAGAUAAAUGAAUUUUUUUAUGGCUUGUUGGGAUGUGCACGGUUAUUUGAGACAUUUGGAGCGAAAAGAAUGAUGCGGUGUUUAGGGGUAGAGAGAGGGGACAUAGUGAGAUUUGUUUUUUUUUGGAGUAGUUGCAAAUUUAGCAAUUAAAUUCAAAAUAAUUAAGUAUACAGCAACAUUUUAAAAAAAUUACAAAUAUAGCAAAAUUUGUCAAAUUCUAUCAAUGAUAGAGUUUAUCACUGAUAGAUCAUGUUGUAAAAAUUGGUCUAUCACCGAUAUAUCAUACGAGUCUAUCAGUGAUACAUGUCUAUCAACGAUAGUUUUGUUAUAUUUGUAAUUUUUUUUAAAUGUUGUUAUAUCCUUAAUAAUUCAUCAAAUGACCAUCCAUUACAAUUACCUUUGUUUUUUUGGUUAGAUUUCACAUGUCUCUUUGGGCUUCAGUUUUGAAGAACUUUUGUAAUUAUGCCAUAGGCAACUUUUUAUUUCAUCCGUCCCCCUCCUUUUAAUGGAGUGAUUUUGUGAGGCUUUUUUUUUUUUUGUAUAUCCUUGUAUUCUUUCAUUCUUUCUCAAUGAAAGUUGUUCUUAUUAAAAAAAAAACCCACUCAAUUGUCCAAUCACACUUUAUCUUGUAGUAAAUCCAGAAUUUGAGAACAAAAUGAAUUAUUUCUAAACCUAACUUUAGAAGUCAAAAUCGUAUACUACAACCAAAAUAUUCAAAAUUGAAAGAUUAAAAAAACAUCAGCGAACCUAGUAGCAUACUAGGCUAUCAAGUGAGUUGCUCUAUUAUAAACACGGUGAUAGAAGGAGAAGGAGACAAAGACCCAACUUACUUGCCAAAUUUCUUCAAUGACAUCCAUGAUCUGAGUAAAAUUGACCAAGCAGUUGUUAAUCUAGUUCACCACUCCUAGCACCCAAUUCAACUACAAUAGUUAGGGAAAGUUGAGAGAUAAAUUGAAAGAAUAAAUCAUCGAUAAUUUCUUUAAAAUCCAUCCCGUUUAGAGAUCUGGAAGAGUCAUGCACCACAACAUAGUCUCGUUCUAAAAGGUAUCGUCGUAAACAUUUCUCUUUCACUCAUUUUUUACAAAAGAGUUUUAUAAAACAUGAUUAGGUGUUGUAAAUAUUUUUCAAUAUCAAAUUGGAAUGAAAACGUUGAAAGAGGAAAAAAACGCACAAACAAAACAAGAUGAAAAACUCAAAUUUUGGAAGAGGGCAGAGAGUCUGAAAAGGCUAAUUUAAUUUAUAGAUUUUAGGUAAAAUUUUGUGCAAAAACCAUAAAUAUUGGACAUAAUAAAAGCGCAUAUCCACGCGAGAAUCGGGGGUUUCUCGUGGCCAUGGAGAUCCCAAAACCCUACCCGCAUUCGAAUCCUCUCAUAUCCGUUUCUUCUUUCAUCCACCAUCACUGUACCAAACUUGGAGCCGAGCUUUCCAAUCGUCUCGAAGACACCAAACGCUUCGCCGGAACUCUCGCCAGAAGAUGGCCGGCCCAGGCGAAUUGGCGAUCAUUUCCUACACCUGCUUUCGCAUCCCUUGCGCGCCACACGCAUGCCUUGGCUGCCACUCUUAGCCCCGACCAAGUGGCGAAGUCCCUCGUCGGCACGGCGGUAUACACUGUUAGCAAUUCAAAUAAUGAGUUUGUGCUCAUUUCUGAUCCCAAUGGUGCCAAGUCAAUUGGGUUGCUGUGCUUUCGCAAGGAAGAUGCCGAGACCUUUUUGGCUCAGGUUUGUUUUGCCCCUGGUUUUCCUCCCAUUUGUGUAGAGUGAAAUGAUAAUGAAGAAGUGAGGAAAACUUGUCGCAAUCUAUUUUGUGCUUCCCCUAUUUAGUGGAAUUUGUGUUUGAUGUUUUCGAUAAUUUAAUGAACUAGAAGUAGGUUUACCAUUCUAAUUCUUUUGUUCAAAUCUGAUGUUUUUAUUGCAAUAUGAUAUCUGAUUAUAGUGAAUUUCAGGUCCGAUCGAGGAAAAGAGAACUAAGAAGUAAUGCCAAGGUUGUACCUAUUACCCUUGACCAGGUACCUUACUUGUAUUAUCAAAUUUUUACUUCUUGAGUACCGAACUUUUUCCCUGCUGCAGUUAUUUUGUUUUCCCCACUUAACGUUCAACCGUUUAGUGGAAUUCCAUAGUGAAGGUUAGUGUGGCUGGUAGGUAACUGCAUUUAUAGGCUUGUGCUAGUACUCCUGAUCAAUGAUAUGACAAUGAGAGCCGAGAGGAGCAUUUACCUGGUGAGAUAACUCCGUUUUAUUUUUAGUCAUCUGGCUGGUGAAAAUUUUCAAAUCUAAGGCCUAUUAAUUUGAAUGUAUCUAAAUUUGUUGGGUUGGAAGAUUUCAAAUAAAUAGGUUGAACUUAUAAAACACAGAAUUUAAAUAUGAUGGUGAAGUGAAGUAUCUGUUUUGCCUUUUCUUUUUCUUCCUUUAUUAGGGGGCGUGGGGCAGGGUUUGAAAUUUAAUAAUUUUGUGAGAAGGUACUCAAUUAGAAUUCAACCUGAUUUUUCUAUUGCCCGUGUAUUAUCUAUUGCCAAUAACCGGGGUGUCCUCCUUCAGUUUCUCUCUUUCUUCUGUACUUCAGUAGAUUUAUUUGUUUCUGUUCGUUUUUUAUGAUUCACAGGUAUAUUUGUUGAAAGUUGAAGGUAUUGCAUUCCGCUUUUUGCCAGAUCCUAUUCAGCUUAAGAAUGCGUUAGAGGCAAGUUUCAUUUGAUCUUGUCAUUCUCUUGGUGUUAAGACAUAGGGUUGUGUCGAUCUUAUGCUAUAUUUUAUAUUCUUUCACUCCGUAUCUAAAUUUUAAAUUCUAUAACAAUACCAAUACUAGUAAGCUAGGAAGCAUAGAUACCAACACGACACACACCAUUUUUCAAAAAGUAGGACACGACAUGUCGAGACACAUUUAAGUAUAUGUCAUGCAUACAAACCUAUUAUGAAAUAUUCCAAUUAGAAACAUCAAAAUAACAAGUUAAGAAGCAAAUAAUUUACAUAAAUAUAACAAAACCCAGAAAUAUUUACGGCUUGUGUAACAAAAAAAGAAAAGUUCAUGAUGCCGGUAAUAUAUUUUCAUAAUUUCCAGAUUUGACCUUGAAUAUUGUAGAUGACUCGUCACUUGUAUUUCUUCUUUUUCUUUCUUUGUGAUUUCUUCUCUUUCAAAUUUAUUUCUUUCUAUUUUUAAACAAUUUAUUCUUUUGUUUAAAUCUCCUAUUUCAUCUUCAUCAUUUUCGUCAAGAUUCUUUGAAGUUAUUUCACGAUUGUUUCAAUAUUCUUCUUCGUCAUCCUUAUAUUCAAGAAUAUCAAGAUCGUUUGAAUAUCAUUUUAAAUGAUCAACACGAUCGUUUACCACUGUCAAGAUGAUGGUUUAAUUUGAAAUCUUUUUCUCAUCGUUUAAAAUAAACUACAUGAUCAUUUACCAUGUAUCGGAGAAGUUGAGAGUUACACAUUGAAAAAACCAAGAGGACUCAUACUCCAUAUAAUAUAGAUGGACUACUCCUCACAUUGCCAAUUGAUUUUGAGAUGGAACCCCAUACGGGUAUUCGAUCCAAUAUAGGUGAACCCAAAAAGACACCAUCUUGAGGGGGCAUAUCGGAGAAGUUGAGAGUCUCAUAUUGGAAAAACCAAAGGGAGUCAUACUCCAUAUAAUAUAUAUGAGCUACUCCUCACAUUGCUAAUUGGUUUUGAGAUGGAACCCCAUAAUAUCAAAUUUAACACUACGAUCAACACUAUCGUUUAAAUUUGAUGCUUUUUUCCAUCGUUUACCAUAGUCAACACAGUUGUUAGAUUUGAAGUUUUUAACGAUCAUUUACGUUGGACUGCACGUUCGUUUGAUCGUUUAAAUUUAAAGCAUUUUUCUCCAUUAUUAAUAAGAAAUACAUGAUCGUGUAUCAUGACCUAAAUGAUUAUAGGUCAUUUGUUUAGACUUUAGUAUACGAUCGUUUAGAAUAAGAUUACUCGUUCGCGUGUGUGGCCGAUUAAUCGCAUGUUGAUUGGGGUAUUUUCUGUUUCUCAUUGUGAGCUUGUGGGCUUUUUGGUUUUCAAAAUUGUUCUAUGUAGUGUAAAUACCGAUUUGUUACAUUUUAAAAAGAAACCCUUAAGAACCAUAUAAUUCAUGAACAUGAAAAAUAUGAUAAUUGAUACCAUACUGUCUGGCCACCAAAGCAUGAAAAAAGAAAAGAAGAAAGAUAAAAUGAAACUGACAACGAGUUUGGGUGGUGAGAAACAGGGGAGCACGAACACAACACUCGACACGUAGGUGGAGAAGAGAAAUGCAUAAAAACAAAAUGGUUGAAAAGAUAAAAUUAAGAAGAAAAAAAUAACCCGUCUUCUUUGUUUUUUUGUUUUUCCAGUCAUGUCUCAUCCGUGUCUUGGUGUGUUGGCACCAUGUUGGAAAUUAGAAGAAAAUAAUAAAAUAAUCCGAAACAGUCUAUUCAUACCUUUACAGUUGAUUCUAUUGGGUGUGUCUAACCUUCCCUUCCCCCCAAGCCCGAUUGUUUUCCCUAACAUCUGCUUCUAACUUAGCCUCAUAAACAAAGUCUGCUACCUGGGCCCGGAUCUGCUUCUUGUUUGACUUGCCAUGAUAACAAACUAAGAAAGCAGUUAAGCAAGGUUGUGGCAUGAUUGAACAAGACCUCUGCAAACAAUGGCUGUAGGUCAUACAAGAUAGAGGUAUAUAAGCCAAUGAGAGGUUAUUGCGUGGAGCAGCACCAGAGGAUGGGUUGGUUCGUUCCUUUCUAUGAAAAGAACCAGGAAAACCAUUCAAUAAAGAGAUUCCCACUAAUCAAUGGAGGGCGGAUUUGAGCUUUGGGUUCAUUCUCAUGAACUAGAGAAAAACAUGGUUGCCACGCAUAAGCAAGCUGCUGUUCUGUCAUUCUCAAGGCUAGGCUAUGGCUAGGUAGGGUUGACAUGCCAACUGGUGUGUUGAAGUGUGUCAGUGUUGGAAAUGUGUCUGACACUGACACUUGGCCAUCUUAGGUGUGUCGGUGCUUCUUAGCUUGUAAGAGAUGCUAAGUUGAUAUUGGCUAGAUAUCAACUACAAUUGGUUGGCCUAGAGGUUGAGGGGAAAGUUGAAAAAGGUAAAAUGAUUAUGGAGCCAUAAGUUCAAAUCUUGUGGUGGUCACGUACUGGAGAGUGGAGACAUUAAUAUCCUUAGUCUAUUUUUUCUCUUUUUACAAUCAAACCAAAAUUUUAAGCUUCAUAUUGUCUCAACAUUAACGUGUGUCACUAACAAUACACACAAGUGCACACUUAUUAUUAGUUGGAUACCUUUGGGGUUUAAGAAAUCGACAAUCAAAGAAACCUAGUAAACGUAAACCAUAGAGAAAACAACAUUGAGAUUUACUUGGUUUGCUAAUGAUAUGUUAGCUACGUUCAUAGGCAAACAGGGAGAAACAUUUUAUUAAUAGAGAAAAUAUCAAAUAUUACAGGUUCAAGGCGCCAGGGAGACCCCUUGCUUAGUUGUUUGGAGUGCCAAAUAACCGAUUUGCUUCAUUCCAAUAUGUUAGAACUUUCUCAUGCAAUAGAGUUGAACUUUCUUAUGACCAUCUUGUAAUUGAUAUUUAAGAUGCCUUGACAUUUCAAUUCGAUAUAUAAGAUGUUACUUACAUUUGACUAGUAAUAAAACAUUUACAAACUCAAACAUUUCAAAUAUACUAUAUUUUUGUUGACCUGAAAAUUGACCCAUAAUUGUAUCUUUGUAUUUGUAGCUUAAAGCAUCAGAGACUGGAAGCAGUUUUGAUGGAGUUCCUGUUUUUCAGGUACGUUUCUGCACUUAAUCAACUGGUUUUAACAUAAACUUGAAUGAAGGAAUCAGAGUUGUGAAAACUCUAGAAGGACCAAUGAAUUGGAUCAUUGGACAUGUUCCAAGUUUCUAAUGAUAAACAGUUCUCAAUCAUGAUUUUUGGUGUGCAUAAUUCAUAAUACAUUGUUAUAUUUGGUUGACAGUUAUCAUAGUUUGUAUUGUUUGGUUGACAUGUCCUAUAUCCUGUUCAUUUUUCAUAAUAACAAAUUUUGAUUUCUUUUUACAGUCUGACCUUCUGAUCGUGAAAAAGAAAAACAAGCGUUAUUGUCCUAUAUACUUUACCAAGGUCUGUAUGCAUAUAAUUUCUGAGGAACUAUGGAUCGUAGAUGCAUCUAACCAUUUACUGGAAAUAUAGGAAGAUAUAGAAAAGGAACUGUUGAAGGUCCCGAAGGCAAGAAGAUUUGGAACUUCUCAACAUAUUAUGGUAUGAUUUGUAUAUUUUUUCUUUGUAUAUUUGAUGUUCCUUUCUUGUGAAAAAGAUUAUCUGUUCUGUUAGUCCACGAUUAUAUUGACUUAAACAUUCAACAGGUUGGAAGUUUGGAAGAUGUUCUAAAGAAAAUGGAGGUGAGGUUUCUUGAUCUCAAGUAGUAGUAUCUUUUAGAAUAUAGAAAUUUUACUCCAUCUUAGUUUUCUUGAUCAAUUGCAGUUGAAUGAAAAUAAUUCAGCCUGGGAAGAUCUGAUUUUCAUUCCACCUGGCAAAAGCCACUCCCAACACUUUCAAGAAGUGGGCAAAGCAUGACAGAGGCCUGUGAAUUCAGCCAACAGACUAAAACAAGAAGAAUGAAAGAGCAUGGAUAGAACUGAUUCAGCAAACUGAGGUUAGAAAAAACUGGAAUUCUGUUAUAGUUGGCUUCAUGGGAGAGGAAUAAUGAAAACUAAUGGCCUUUUUCUCCCUCAUUAGACAUCACAACGGAUCUGAUUCAGACAUUAUUUUGUGAGGUUGAAGAAGAUAAUGCCUUCUGUUUUACGUCAAGGAGGUUAGUGAAAACAUUGCGGCUGGAUUUCUCAGAUGUGUUGAGUUUGAUUUUAUUUAUGUAUAGUAUAGUCUUUAUGAUUGACGCCGUUUUCAACUGUAGAUUAGAAUCAAUGUAAUUUUAGCUUCUGAAAUGGUUACUGAUUCCUAAGGCGACUUGUCCCAUUUUGCUCAGCCGUGCGUUGCCUAAGUACUAAAGGGCCGUUAUUUACGUGGGAAGGGAAUCUGACAGUAUUUGAUUUUCACAAUAAAUUAAUGAACCAUCAAAUAUCUUUUUUUUUUUUUUUUUUUUUUGAAGUUCACAAUUUUACAGGUUGAGAUCAGAACUUUUGACUUUAAAAUGAUGAUUGAUUAUUUCAUCCAUCGAACUACGUUUGGAUACAUACACUAUCUUAUUGUCUAUUGAGGAACGCUGUUGUUUACCGGUUAGAUUUUUGGAAAUGGAGAAUUGUGUAGGUGGGGGAGAACGUAUUAGGUUGUUAGAUCUUAUUUUCAUUUGUAUAAAUAUACUCCUUAAUUAUAUGCGUAAUUCAAAUCUGUUGGUAUUUCUUUUUCAAGAAAGAAGAAAAAUAUUCAUUGCUUUGUAAUAAUAAAACCUUGCUUUUUGUAGAUGGGGUGAUGGGGUGAUGGGUAGGUAACUUCAAUUAACAAAAGUUUAUCUCAAUUUAAUUUUACAUUAGGAAAAUUGUAUUGAGUGGCAAAUUAGUUUGGAUAUUCUGCAAAAAUGUGUUUAAGAUUUGUGAUUUUGCAAAAAUAGCAAAAAUAAUCCAAUCCUAUGUAUGUGUGGGUAGGGUCUUAUUCUUAUAAAUAAUAAAGUAUAAAUAAUAAUAAAGUAUAAAUAAUAAUAAAGUAUAAAUAAUAAGGUAUACUUGUGUUAGUUAUUAUUACUUGUUUUUGCUAUUCUUGUAGUUGUCAUUUUACAUCAUGUCAUAUUUUUUUAAUUAUUAAAGCUGGCAUUUAUUGAAGGUCAUUUAUUGGCAAACAUUUCAACUUCAUAACCUACCUUUUUGUAUUAUAAAUAGUUGGUCGGAUUAUUUGUAGGAUUUAUUGUCCAUAGAUAGGGUCUUCUCUUUUCAAACUUUCUUUUCAUCCGUAACAAUUAAAUGCUGAGUAAACAUUUUUUUAUUUUAAAAUCUUGUUUGUUAAAAACAACCGCGAUAUAUAUAUACAAAAAGAGAAAAAGAAAAUCUUUUCAUUUUUAGUUUUCCUUCAUUAUUGAAAAAAAUGUUGUAUAAAAAAAUGUAAAUUAGUUACAUAACAUUCAAUUUUUUUCAAAAUUUAAAAUGAAAAUCAGAAACAUACAAAUGUUACUUAAGGAAGAAGUCGCAUUGCAAAAAUUUGCCCACUUUGUAGAAAGGAAGGCAAAAGCAGUGGCUGAAGUGGAGAAAAUCCAUUCUUGUGGAAGGAAAUGGAUAUAAGGGGUUUUUGGAUUGAGAUUAAUGUUGCUAGUGAGGUCCAUUCCAUUCUCUCUCUCGUUUUCUUUUUCUUCCUAUGGGAUCUUUAUGCUGAGGUUGAUGCUCUUAUUAGUCGUUUAAAUGUUAGGGGUGACAUAUGCUCCAUAUUUGUAAUGGUGUGGACGUGUGGUCCAUUCUUUUGGCUAAUUUUGCAUUGUCGUCUUGUGAUUCUUUUAGAUUGACUCAUUAUUGUCUUAAUUAAUUAGUUAAGAUCGUUUAUGAAUGAUUUUCUUUAAAAAUAAAAAGCAAAAAGAACCAUUAGUAUGAUAUAAGCUACGUCAAAUCAAAUAAUACCCUCUUACUUUAAACAAAGAGGCCUCACAGUUGAAGCAACUGCAAUGAUUGGCUGUUUUGGUGCAAUAAUGUGGACCAAUGUGUCUGUCUGCUAUACAACAGAGGGAUUUAAAAGGAAUGUCUUUGUAUUGAACUGUUGAGUAAGAAGAUGGGUUAUUAAUUAUGAUGACAAAAAUGGGGAAAAUUUGUGUCAGAAAGUUUGAACAUCAUUUUGAAAUGUAUUUAGUGUAGUUGAGGGACCAAUCUUGAGUGCUCCCUCUGCAUUCCCAAGUACGAUAUGUUGCAUUACAACCCAUUUUGUUGUCUUUGAUUUAUAUUGCUUUAGAAAACUGUGUUCAACCUCAUAUUUCAUUUUUUGUUUUAUUCUUCAUCAAUGCAAUGCAACUACCAUAGAUAAUAAAAGAAAAGUAGACAUUAAAAAAAAAAAAAAAGUCCAUAAGAGAUUGAAUUAGUUAUAACCCAUAAACUAUCUCAUAGACUAUAAUAAACACACAUUAUAAUAACUCACUCUACGACUCAAAUGCCUCCUUAAGAGUUAAGACUAUAAUAACCCACUUCUUGUUCUAAAGCCAUCUUUCGAAUUGGUGCCUUAUCGUUCAUAAAAGGUAUUAGAAAAGGUGGGUGAUUAUGGUAAUAUAUUUGUUUAGUCUUACUUUUAUUUUUCUUUUCCAAUUCAUUAGGUAGCAUUAACAACUCUAUUAUUAUUCAAAUUUAAAGAAUUUCCAAUUGGAAAAGCAAGUUUUAAAAAAAAUAUAAAAGCGUGAAAGUUAGAAUCAAUAAACAGUGAAUGAAAGUAGAAAAAGAAGAAAAUAAUGAUUUUGCACUUCAAGAUGGGCAUCAUUAAUUCCUUAGCCAAUAAGAGUAAGAGUGUGGCAGACUAAAAAAUAAACGCGCCAGGUAGGGGUCGAACCUACGACUUUCUGCUUAGGAAACAGACGCUCUAUCCACUGAGCUACAGGCGCUUCUUGUUAAUUAAAAUGCAUCUAUUCAUAUAUUGUUUGAAAUACAUAACACCAGGUGUCCAUUCCUCUAUUUUGACGUCACACUACACGUGUCAUACCCCUACUCGUCGCAUAAUAUCCUUCGAAUUUAUUGUUUUUUUAAAAAAUGGAUUUGAAACGAUUUUAAAUUGAUUAUUUUGUUUGAAUAUAGAAAAGAUUUAAAACGUGGAUAUUUUAAAUUUUGAAUUUGAAUUGCAAGGGAAAAAGAAAAAAAAAGUUUAAAAAUGUUAAAAUAUAUAGCAAUAAUAAGUAGAAUGUUGUUGGAAUAUUAAAUAAAUAGAUUAAUUCCAUGUCAUCAUCCAUCUGAGUCAAUCCAAUCCCACCGCUGGGUGCAGUGUCGACGGUGACUAUUAAUGGAAAACACAAGCGGCGCGUCUGUUUUAUUCUGUUUCAAUUAAUGAACAAAUCACAUAACCCCAAAUUAAACACACUUCUUAUUAAUUAUUAGUAUCCACUUCUACCCAAAUUAAUAAUAAUAAUCAUAGUAAUAUAAUUUUGUAAAACUCAUUUUCAUUUUAUAUUUUUAAAUAUAAAUAAUAAUAAUAAUAAUAAGUCAAAUCCCUCACCAUCUGUGUUGGAUUCCUUAAGAAUUUUACACAAAAUCACUUCCACAAAUUCAAAAAGUUAAAAUGUAAUUAAAAAGAAAUGAAGGGAGAGAGAGAGAUGGACGUUGGUGUAUGAGAAGGAGUAGGCUCCACUGACGCGUACCGGCCCCCCAUUUUUCUCAUCUCUAAUUUUAGCUCUCCCUUUCCUUUCUCGACCCUUUCCUUUCUUCAUAAUCCUUUUUCUUUCUUUUUUUUUCCUUUUUCUCUUUAAUUAUUCAUUUUUUUUAUUUUUAUUUUUAUUUAUUUAUUUUCAUUCUUUUCUAUUUUUCCUUUUCCCAUUUUCCGGUGAUCAUUAUUUUUCAUUUCCGCUUUCCUUUGACUUCUUCAUCAUCUUCACCAUCUUCAUCAUCUUCUUCCUCCUCCUCCUUUGCUGCUUCUUCACGGUAUGCUUCUUCUUUUAAUUCUAUGCACUUUCUUACCUUCAUCAUUAAUUUGCUUCCUUUCUUUCUAUUACUGUGACUCCAUUCCACCUUUUACUGCCUUUUGAUUUCUCUUCAUUUUUUUUUAUGUUUCCCAUUUGAUAUCUUUGAUGCGCUUUAUCAUUUGUAUCUCCUCUUCUGUUCUGUAAGAGCUGUGUGAUUUCGCCUUUUUAAUUCCUUUUCCUAUUUUUCUUUCCUUAAUUGCUCUCAUUUAAUUCCACUAUGUAUGUUGUUGUUGAAUUUUGCCUGUUUAUGUUCUCUCAUUUAAUUAGACUGUGAGUUGUUUCGUGCUUCUUUAUUUUGCUUUCCUUUCUGGAAUCUGGCGGCUGUAGGCGGGAUGGAGGGCGGAUGCGCUUAAUUACUAUCUCUGUUUUUCUCGUUUUUGGAACCAGAGGAGGUUUUUUCGAUGUGCGCACUAGGUGUUGACGUUAAUUGUUUUCCAGGUUUGAUCGGCUCUACGUUUAAAUGUUAAGUCUUUAUAGGAUUGAAACUUAAGGUUUACAAACUUUUUGGAAAGCGUCUUGCGUCGCGUCCUUUUUGGGUACCAGAAAGUAUUUACUUCGUCGGUGAAACACAUUGGUGUAGCAGAAAUUCUUAGACGAUUCUAUGUUGAUCUAUUUAGAAAAUUAGGUUAUCUCAUGGAUCGAUUAGAGGUGGCUGCUAUUAAGCUCAAAAUGGAUAAUUUUUUUAAGAAAUAACCUUAUAUCUUUUCUUUUUUUAAAAAAAUAUGUGUGUGAGGGUGGUGGGGGAUCCGAACCUCAAACUUCUUGUUUAAGAGUAUACACGUUUUGUAGAUUUAGCUAUGCUCUCUUAGGGAUUAAUCUAAAAUCUUUGGUGUAUGCCAAGUCGCGUACCACUUCAUAGUUGUAGAUAUAGGUAUUAAAGAAUAUACCAUAUUUAUAACUGAGACUUGAUUAACUAUGCUUGGAUCAAACUUUUUUAGCCUAAUACAAUUUUUCAGGAGCAUUUGAGGAAAGCUGAAUUGUUGAUCAAAUACAAGGAAUUUAAUAUUCUAGUUUAAAACAUUCCGUGGAGUAAUAUGAAAAUGGUUCAAAACGAAAUGAUAAAACAUUGACUUAGCAGUGGAUAAAAAGCUGAAAAUGGUUAUCACUUUGAUUCUUUGACCCUUGAUUAAAUGUGUCAAAUGUGUCAUGAUAAUUUCUAAUGGUUCGUGAAUCUGGUUCUUCUUAUUCACUGAUUUGUCAUUGGCAUGAUAACAUUUUGCUUCUGACUGUAGUUUCCUAAAGUUGCUGUCUAGUUAAUUUUGCAAAACAGGAUUUAAAAUUAACGAUUUUGGGUGCUUUGUGCUUUCUAUGGUUUCAGCUCAGCUACAGCUCUCUGUUGGCAGUAUUUGUUAACCCUGUUCGAUGGAUGAUGUGAAAUUAGCUAAUCAUACAUCUUCUUCACAUUCCUCAUUAAUCUCUCAAGAGGAUAGUCAUUCUCUUGAUGAAAAUCCAAACCACCUAGUUAACAAUGGAAUUGUUGGUCCCAGCCAAGUUCUCCCAAAUUCUGUUGCUAAUGGGAAGUUGGAAGGUAAAAUUGAAUGCUCUCCAAGUCCAAUUGAUGGAACUGUGAUAUCUGAGAGUCCACAUCAAAUAUCUGAAAAUUCUGUAAUGUCAGCCAUAGAAGGUGGUCCUAGCCCGAGAGAUGCAAAUAUGAGACAAGAUGAGGGUAUUGCAUCCAAUAAUUCAGGUUUGAGUUCAACAGUUCCAGAUGAUAGACUAGAGGAACAAAAUCCAACUACCUUGAUGGAAGACCCCAGAACUCAGUCAGUUGAAGAUAUGUCUGAGAAACGUUCUCAAGAACAAUCUACUGUCCAUAGUGGUUCUGCUAAUGAUGUCAUUAUGCCAUCUGUUAUUUCUUCGGUUGAGGUUCUGCCUGAGAAAUGUCCUCAAGAACAAUCUACUGUCCAUAGUGAUUCUUCUAAUGAUGUCACUCUGCCAUCUGUUAUUUCUUCAGUUGAGGAUAUGCCUGAGAAACUUCCUCGGGAACAAUCCCCAAUCCAUAGUGAAUUUGCUGCUAUCAACGAGGUCACUCCAUCUGCUGUCUCUUCAGUUGAGGAUAUGCCCGAGAAACUUUCUCAGGAACAAUUUCCAGUCCAUAAUGACUCUGCUACAGUCAAUGAUGACAAUACGCCAUCUGUUCUAUCUUCUGAGGCAGUGGUUAUACAGAAUGAAGGUGCUGUACAAUUAGAUAGGCUCACAGAGGGGGAGAGAGUGUCGUGUGGAAAAUCGGAAUCUGUUGAUUCUCCCAUAGAUGGGAAACAAAGUGAUAUAAACAGAGGCCUUAUUGAUACAACUGCACCAUUUGAAUCAGUUAAAGAAGCCGUUUCAAAGUUCGGUGGGAUUGUUGACUGGAAAGCUCAUCGAAUCCAGACAGUUGAGGUAUAACUUGCUAGACUAUUAUUGUGAUCCUUUCACAGUUUAAAUGUUGUGGCACCCCUUACAUGAUGCAUUGGGGUGGGUUAGGUUUUCCUAAUAUUGUUGGAUAAAAUAACUGUCUUUUGUUGCUAGCCUAUCAUGAAAAGGGUAUUAAUUUAGUUGUCACGGCUGUGUACCUUCAGAGCAAAAGACACAAAAAGUAUUUCUCAUUGGUUAUUAGCUUAUUGUAUGUAGUAUCUGAUGAAGCUGUGCUCUUAGCUGGUAAUAACAGCAUACUUCGAAAAUGCAUAUCUGUGGCAUGUUACUUCAGGGUUCAUUUGUGAUUACAGGAUGGUUGUAAUUGGGGGACAAGUUUAAAUGUGAAGUGAAGCGGAGUUUGUCUCAUUAUUUCACAAUUAUGUUUCCAGAUUCUUGUUGAAAUUCUAAUUCUUCAAAAAUAUUCUAAUAGAUACUGUUGUAUGUGUAACGCAUUCACCUUGAUUGUGCGUGAUUGGGUAUAGCCCCACUACGAUUGUGCAUGAUUGGGUAUAACUCCACUGCUUGUUGAAUUUAAGUAAUUGAAUUCAUUCAACCCCCCGAUAGAUUCAAAUGAUUUUUCUAGUAUAGCUAAUAGUUAUAUCUUUUAAAUGUUGCAGAGACGUAAGCUUGUGGAGCAAGAACUUGAGAAAUUACAAGAGGAGAUUCCUGAAUACAGGAGACAGUCGGAAACUGCUGAAGAUGAGAAAAAGAAAGUUCUAAAAGAACUGGAUAGCACUAAGCGAUUGAUUGAAGAACUAAAGCUUAAUCUAGAGAGGGCACAAACAGAAGAGCGUCAGGCAAGGCAAGAUUCUGAGCUAGCGAAACUCAGGGUUGAAGAGAUGGAGCAAGGGAUUGCUGAAGAGGCUAGUGUAGCAGCCAAGGCGCAGCUUGAGGUUGCUAAAGCCAGGCAUGUAGCUGCAGUUUCAGAGCUUCAAUCUGUCAAAGAGGAGUUGGAAUUACUUUGUAAAGAGUUUGCUUCUUUAGUCAUAGACAGGAAUGCAGCAAUAGCUAAAGCUGAAGAUGCUGUUGCUGCAUCCAAGGAAGUUGAGAAAGCAGUAGAAGAUCUAACCAUUGAGCUUAUGGCUAACAAGGAGUCGUUAGAGUCUGCACAUGCUUCUCAUUUGGAGGCAGAGGAGCAAAGAAUAGGUGCAGCUAUGGCCAGAGAGCAAGAUUCUCUUAACUGGGAGAAAGAGUUGAAGCAGGCCGAAGACGAGCUUCAGAGUCUUAAUCUGAAAAUUAUGUCAGCAAAGGAUCUGAAAUCAAAACUCGACACUGCCUCAAAUUUGCUAAUAGACUUAAAAGCUGAAUUAGCAGCUUAUAUGGAAUCGAAACUGGAAGAGGAGCCUGAUAAUCAGGAUGGUAACACAAAAGGCGAGGGAGAGGAUCCGGAAAAGAAAACACACACAGAUAUACAAGCAGCUGUUGCUUCAGCAAAACAGGAACUUGAGGAAGUAAAACUCAAUAUCGAGAAAGCAAGUUCGGAAAUAAACAUCCUGAAGGUGGCCGCAACAUCAUUGAAAACAGAGCUUGAAAGAGAGAAGUCUGCUCUAGCUACCUUGAAGCAAAGAGAAGGAAUGGCAUCUAUAGCAGUUGCAUCUCUUGAGGCUGAAGUGGAAAGAACUAGGUCAGAAAUAGCCUUAGUUCAAAUGAAGGAAAAAGAGGCCAGGGAAAUGAUGGUGGAGUUUCCUAAACAAUUACAGCAAGCUGCACAAGAAGCUGACCAGGCCAAAUCAGCGGCUCAGGUCGCUCAAGAGGAGCUACGCAAAACAAAAGAGGAAGCAGAGCAAGCAAAAGCUGGAGCAAGUACCAUGGAGAGUAGAUUGCUUGCUGCUCAGAAAGAGAUUGAAGCUGCAAAGGCUUCAGAAAGAUUGGCCUUGGCAGCAAUCAAGGCAUUACAAGAGAGCGAAUCAGCACGAGAUACCAAUAACGCAGACUCUCCAGCAGGAGUUACACUCUCACUCGAGGAAUACUAUGAGCUUAGCAAGUGUGCCCAUGAGGCAGAAGAACAAGCCAACGUCAGAGUGGCAGCUGCACUGUCUCAAAUUGAGGUAGCCAAGGAAUCCGAGUCAAAAAGUGUUGAAAAACUGGAAGAAGUAACCCAAGAGAUGGCUACCAGAAAGGAAGCACUAAAAACAGCCAUGGAGAGGGCUGAGAAAGCCAAGGAAGGAAAGUUGGGGGUGGAACAAGAGUUACGAAAAUGGAGAGCUGAGCAUGAACAACGAAGGAAGGCUGGUGACACUAGCGUUGGAUUAAUGAACCCGAUUGCCAGUCCAAGGGCGAGUUUCGAGGGAAAGAACGAACCGUCUAAUUUAGUCAGCGUAUCUGAUGCCACAGUUACUGAUCCCUCAAUUUCAACUAGCCCAAAGGGAAAUAUGCAAAGAAGUUUUACUACAUUGGAUUCGUUCUCGGAAGCAAAGGCACCAAAGAAAAAGAAGAGGUCGUUUUUUCCUCGAAUUCUCAUGUUUCUGGCAAGAAAAAAGACUCAAUCAAACAAGACAUCGCAAUGAAAUGGAUUGGUUUUGGGAGUACAGAUAUCAUAAUUACACUGUCGAUAGUUUUCAGCUCUGUUUUCAAGUUGGUUUUGUUGAUGGAGAUUAUAUUCAAAUGGGUGAGUUUGGAAGAAAUACGUGAUUGUACAUGAUGGUGAUGGUGAUGGUUAUUUUUAUUUAUAAUUUUUAAAAUUUUUAAACAUAUUUGUAUGAUGAAGAAAAAAGGGUGUUCGUGCGUGCUAUUAAAAAGAAAUGUUGCCGUACACUGCCGAUGGGAUUGAAAAAGAUGUAAUAAGUUUGUACGUUUUGAUUUUUGAAUGAUGAGGCUGUUCUCCUAACGUUCUCUCUCGUGUAUCAAUGAAUGUAUAGGCUUUUUAAAAAAGCUACGAGUUACUCCUGAGUUUACUCCAAUUUAGUCCAUCAACUUGAACUUUACACCCAUUUCUCCUGUCAAACUCACUCCUAUUAAAUUUCUAUCCAUAAAUCACCUCAAAUCAAAUUAAUUUAUAUAGGUAGCAAUUUUAUAAAUAAUAAAUUAAGUACAUUGUGAUAUUUUUAUAAAAUUACAAAUACAUUGUCACCUUUAUAAUUUAUUAACGAUAGGUUAUUAUUAAUAAAUUUUACUAUAUUUGUAAUUUUUGCAACAUGAUUUAUUAUUAAUAAAUUUUACUAUAUUUAUAAAUAUAGUUAAAAAUAUUGUUCUAUAUAUUAAUAUUUUGAAUCUAAUUGCUAUAUUUGUAAGAAAAAAUUAUAAAGAAAAUGUCAACAAGAGUGUUGGUAACAAUCAGUUUUAGUGUACAAAUACGAGGACAAGAAUUUAACACAAUUGGUAAUGAAUGUAUCAGUAACAACAAAAUUUAUAGCUCAAGUCUUCCAUUUUCAAUUAUUAUUAGAAAAAGAGGAAAUUGUUAGAAAUAAAACAUUUUACAAAGUAUUUACACGUUUAAUAAAUUUUAUUUUUUAGUAGUUUUAUUUGAAAUCUAAAUAUGAUUUAUCAAUUUUUCUAUUUUUAAAAAACACCUACAAAGAAUAUGGAAGUGUAAACGUUUUAUUUAUUAAUUUAAACAUCUUUAGAUAUUUUUUGUUCUUAUUUAUUAAGACUACACAUUCAUAUCUUCCUAGAAUUAGGGUUUUAAUGAUGCCCAAACUGUGAGUUUAAUAAAAGUUUAUAAUACAAAAUUAAAAAUUUUAAAACUUAACGAUCAUAUUUUCAUUAUUGAAUGACCAAAUGAACACAAAUUUGAAAUUUAGGUUGAGAUACUUGCUUCCUUGAUAACAAUGGAUUAAAAAUCUAAGACAAGUCCAUCAAGGAACUUGAAAUAGAAUACAAAUUACAAAUACAUUUAGGGAACUCAUUAAUAGAUGUUCAAAACUACCUAAGGCAUCUAUAAGGUUCUAAACAUUACAAUGCCACUUUAGAAAGGCAUCCAACUCCAUCAGAUAAUAUCAAUAGCAUAUUAUAUAUGCUCUGAGGAACUGAAUUUCACCCUCUUAGCCUGCUGCUAGAUAUGCUGAAUGAACUGACUUUCAUGGGUGUUGCAAUCACCAACGGAGCUUCCGGCGAAUCGGUCACCGCAAAUUUUUCAUGCAUAAAACGACUAUCAACAAUGGAGUCAUCUUUGAGAACAAUCUUGUAACAGUAACAGCUCUUCAAACCUUCUUGAUGGCGGUAGCAGUCGUGCGUCCCAUUUUUCACUUGUUGGAAGUUCCAUAUCACACUGAACUUGCCCACAGUUGCAACCAAAUGGCGCUCCUGCUUCCCGUCUUCGGUGACCUAUAAUGAUGGAAAUGUAAAAUUUGUACAAAAAGAUUAUUUGAAAACUGCUAAAGGAUAACUGCGAGAAACUUAGAGACGUGUUGAGACAAUAAUAAGACACGAUUUAGUGACUCAAAUGCCUAAAUUGUCUUCAGCUUCAGUAAUACUCAAUCUAACACUCUCAACACAAACUUUGCAGGUUUCAACUCCACCAGAUUAGUUAACUAACUCGAGGCAAAUGGCUAAUGUAUCUAUGGCUAUUAAAAACAUGAAUAGUUGGCAAUGAGUUUAAAUGACUUAAUCUUCUAUCCUUCAACGGAAGAUUUAUUGUCUCGAAGAACGUGGUAUAUUAUGAAUGACAACAUUACAAGAACGAAGAAGAAAAAAAUGGAGAAUCUAGUGAUCUGGCAUAACAAACAAGGGAAGAUUAUAGACAAGAAAAUGAAUGGUAGAAAACAAGAAGCAGAGGAAACAGGUGAAACGCAAUUGUAUUUGCAGCUGACAAUAAAAAAAACAAAGGAUAAGGUUAUGGACAAGAAAAUGAAACAUACCAAAAAAACAAACAAAGAAAACAGGUGAAACAUGAUUGUAAUUGCAGUUUAUAGCGGAUAAAAAAAAAGCUAAUAAUCAAAUAAGACGAAACAUGUAUACCCAAGCAAUAACAAUACAGUGGCUCAUUUACUCGUACCAACUGCCCACACUAUAUCCUCACUCAAAAGUACAUGUCAGCCGAACAUUAAACUAAAAUUUGAAUAAGCACUUCUCAAAAUUUAAACAUCAAAAUUUGCAAUCUGUUCAUGUCUUCAUGCUAGAUCAAGAAACGAUCAAUCUACUAACCCUGCGGCCCAUUGAUGUGAAAUUUCAAUGGCACAACAAGCGUUUGACAGUUGGGCAAAACAUCCUCUAAUAAAAAGACAAGCGAAGCAUAAAACUAUAUAAAGUCCAGUCAAUUAAGAGUGAGCUAGAACAACGAUAACUUCAAGAUUAAUCCUGAUAAAUGGAGAAAGACAAGAAACAAACAUACCCAUGAAAAUUGAGCAUUUCGAAACUUAUUAUCUACUCCAGCUAAAUGAGAAUCCAGAGGAGUCAGUUUCAGCAAUCUUGGAGCUGAAAUCCUAUUCCCCAUUCGACCAGAAAAUCCAGUCUUCAUCUUCCCAUCCUUAUCAGUAAAGAGAGUGCAAAUAAGAAUCAGAUAAGAAUCUGUUGUCCCCAAAAUCCAUCUACCGUCAUAGGUAACAUCUACAUGUGUAAUAGGUGAACCAAGGCCUGGAAAAGCGGUUUUUGCUUGUCUCAUUGAAUUGAUAGAAUACAACCUAAUUUUUCCAUCAAGCGACCCAACAACAAUAGAGCCAUCGCCAGUGGUUGCAAAGCACUGGAAAUUGGUGCCUCUAGAAAACUGAUGCCCUUGUGCCCAAUUCAAGACAGGAGUGCUAGAAGUAGCAAGAUUUUGAACCAUUCCUUUCCUAUCUCGCAUAUCCCAUCUACAAAGCCUGUUGUCAUCCAAACCCAAAAAUGUUGAGCCUGAAGGAUCCAACUGAGCCCCUUUAGAAUCAUUUGUAAUAUCCCUCAUUGAAAUAUCAACUCCAUCUUUUCCGAACUUCCAUUCAGUAACAAUUUUCCCUGUUUCAAUGUCAAGCUGAUGAAGUCCAGAAGUAUGGGGCUUCCCCUCGUUCAUUGGACUCAUCAAAAGCAUAUUGGUCUCAGCCUUCAUAAGAAGGGCCUUCUUCGGGGUUGAGUAUGCCAAACACGAACCGCCUCCACGAGGACCCCGAUUUCCAUGAUCAAUAUUCACAUACAUACCCUUUCCCUGAAUUCCAUGAGAGAAGUUCUUGACGACCUGAAUUCCUGAAUCGCCAACCAAGAAACUGUUGUCUAAUGCACCUAGAGCUAAACUCUUAAUCCCACCAUCGGCAGCUUCCUCAAACUCCUCCAUUAAAUCGUUUGCCCUGACAGGCGUAGCUGAAUUGGGACUUUUUGAGAAAUCUUCCUCAGCAUCUUCCCACAUUGAAUCAUCCGCCACUUCAGGGUUUGCCCAACCAAUGAAAUCCUUCCCAUAAACCUUCAAUCUAUUCUCCUCCGUAUCCUCAUAUCCAUAGGUAUUCUCAAAUAAACACCCCUUAAAUUUUUCCACAAAAAUCUUAUAAUCUUCAUCGCUGAAAAAUUUCAACGCCCAGACACCCUGCGCAACAAAAUCCACACGCCGCUGAUCUCCGAAUGUUUUCAAUUGCACUUCUGACGACACUCUCACUCUAAUUUUCGAUCCAACCCUCAAAAACCACCAAGAGUCAUCUUGCCCCUCCUCCUCCUCAUCAUCAUCAUCAUCUUCUUCCUCUUCAUCACCAUUGUCACCCUUAUCAAUUCUGCAAGACUUCAAAAAAGAGUAAGUAGUGAGUUUUUCGGAGGUAAUCCAUUUCGCUUUAGGAGUAUUGCCAUUAAUAUGGAGGUAAAGCUUCACUGCGUUCUUCAAAGUUGGUUUCUGAGACGAUCCGUACUUGAGCUUAAGAGCCCUGAGUUUCGCCUCCACUUCAUCCACUGAAGAUGGCGUCUUCGGACGUCGCUCUGAAGAUCUUUGAUGCUCUUCUUCAACAUCCUCGUAUUUCUCCUCAUCUUCUACAUUAGUUACCCCGUUCUCAUCUUCACGAUCGGAAUCUGACAGUUCCAGACCCUCGCGACUUUGAGAUGCUCCCAUUAUCAAAGCCUUCAAGUUUGGAUUACCGGAAAUAGAGAUCGAAUCAAAUGGAAAAUGAAGCAGAAUCGAAAGGACAAAUGGAGACGUAGAAAUGAGGAGGCGCCAAUUUCGAAAUUUGAAAAUCUGGAGCGUUUCUGUCUGUUCUGUAGUGACACUUUUUAGGGUUCCUCUUUCACAAUGACGCCGAUAACCGGUUGCCUUUCUCUUUGUAACUGAUUCGACUCUUAUCUCAUCUUACCAACUUUAUGUGGGCUUUCAUUUAUUUAUUGGACUUUCUUUUGGGCUCUCAUUUCGGCCCAUAUUUCAACACAACCUUACUACUACUUACUAGUGUGAAUGUGCUCUAUUUAUUCGCAUUUGUUGUUAUUUAUUAUUGUUCUAUAACCACUAUGAAACAAAUGAAUGAUAUAAUUACGUUUUGAUCAUUCAAGACAGCCUUGAUGAAACAGAUGUAAGUGUUUGAUGAAGAAAAGUUGAAAGGUAAGUGUUGAAGAAGAGAAGUUGAAAGGGGAAAAAGGCCUUCCCAAAUAUCAUCUCAUUUACUAGAAAAAUGUUUGAUUUUUCUUUUUCAUAUAUAUCAGUUCAUUUUGAUGUGGGUACAUUUAUUUUUUUAUUUACUAAAAUUGAGAAAUGUUUGAAAUCUAAGUAUAGUUAUUCCAACGAAAUUAAUAUCUUUUGAUUGCUCACAUUUGUCUUCUAGUAAUAAACAUGCUCUGUAUUCCUAAGUUAAGAUGGAUUCAACCAGCAAGAUCAUAUUUGAUUUCAAUUAUUCUUUGUUUUUAUUACAAGUACAUUAUGGGACAUCUAUGGAAAUAAAAGUGAUGUCUCAGUGGCUAUGUUUAUCCUCUAGAGAAUGAGAAAACUAGAGAUUGAGAACACAUUGAAAAUUUAGAUUAAGGUUUCUCAAAGUAUUACAAUAAAAUGAGGCCAUUAAAUGCUACACCAAGGAAAUCCAUCGAACAUUUUACAUAAUAGAAGUAAACACAAUUAAAUAACGUAAAACUAUUAAAUUUCAAUACUAAAUAAUAUUCAGCUAAGGCCACAUUUAGAAGUCACAAUGAAUAUAUGUGUAAUCUAAACGAGAUUCUAUAAGUAAUUAACUGCAACACUACUUUUUACAUUAACGCUAAUGGAUUACUUAACUAGAUAAUGAUGAUGAUUACUAGAGGAGGUCAUUAGAUGAUGGAUUACUAGAAGUUGUCAACUCACAAGAACAAAUAGUCCAUUUAGCCAAAACUAUGUUUAGUGAAUAGUUAUUCAAAUAUGUUUAUACCAUUUUUCUUUUCUAUAUAUAAUUUUAAGAGACACUCUAGAAGGGUACUUCAAACAUUUCAAAAGAGUGCUUGCAACAGAUAGGGGGAAAAGCACAAAAAAAGGCAACAAUUCAUGUAUAUGAUAAUUUAGUUAACUGAUUUAUAAUGUCGAUAAUCAACGUUGAAGAGUCACAAUAAAUUAUCACAAGGUCAUAGAUUCAAACCAUGGUGGUCACCUAUUUAGAAAUAAACUUUCUACGUCUUUGCUUGACAUCCAAAUGUCGUAGAAGUAUGUUGUGUGCAUGUAAGUUGGUCUACACUAACUAACAUAUUAUAUAUAUUGUAUAUAUACACACAUAUCUCUCAUUGUGCAAGUGGUUAUCACCUUAAUCUUAUCCCCUCAACCUACAAGCAUGCAUAAACAAACCAGCAGGAGAAUCUAAAACUAGGCAUGAAUUGUAAGCACAGAGUAAUGGCAUUGACUUGAAAAAAGGGUGAGAAUGAAAGUGCUAACAGCUCUAAACAUAGCAACUCAGACAAAAUAAAUGCAACACAAAAAAGAGAAAACGAACAACAGAACACUUAAAAGAGCAAUUUGCAUGCCUUGUGAAAGGUUUGGAGCCAUAUUGCACAAAGAGAAAAAUGAUUUGAACAUUAAAUAAGGAGAAAUAGUUCCCAACAUGUUAUGAUAUCCUACAAGAGAAUUGGACUAAUACUUUUGACACUGGAAUUAUUGAUUUGGAGACAAUUGAAAGCAGCUUCUUUUAACUUUUAUUGUCUAAAUACCCAUCCAUAUAUCUUCCAACAUUGACAAUGUGUGGUAGCUUCAGGAACAGCAGUUUCCCUCUUCUGUCCGCUCAUAACUUCGCAGGCUUCGGGAAAAUGUCGGGAGUGAAUUUCUGUGCCGCACUGAUACUCCCCUUGAUUUGAAGAGCACCCCUGCGGAGUUAACACAUUUCUAUAAAGCUAGGACUAAUAUGGUAGGACUUGGGUUAAAAACGUAUUCAAUAAGAAUUUCUGAACGAAACACCACUCGAGUAUUUCAGGAGUUUAGUAUGAAUUUAAGGAUGGUGGGAAGCAGUUCAAGCCGACUGAAAAGCACUUGAAAAUUGUCGUAGUAUUCAAAAAAUGAAUUUCGAACUGUGAAGUGCUUUUGAAGGAAGCAUCUAACUAGUGUUUCUACCAAAAUGUGUCACACUUGAUUCACGCAACUCUUGGUCACAAACUAAACAUUAUGACAAAUUUGAAAAGCAAUUCUAACAGAUAACAAACAUCCUUGACUUCAAAUUCAUGGUUAAAUUCACUCAAAAUAAGCAAUUUGAAGAAUAGGCAGAAACAUAACCCAAAAUAACGAUGAUAAAAAUGACCUAAAAUACCUCAAGAAAGCCAUCUGAGGAUUCAUCUUCCCCAAAGCAAUUUUAAUGAAAUCUUCGUCCUUGAAGGAUAAGGUGGCGUCUGGUUUUCCUCCUUCGUAUGGACCUGAGCUCAAAACAGACAUAAUGCUGUUUUCAAUUUAUCAGCCGAAACAUAUAAAUAUGCAAUCCCAUUUCUAAAAGAUUAAAUUUGUCUGCUACUUAGAAGAUGACAAAUGCAAUUGCAAAUUGAUAGCUAUAAUGCCACAACAGAUUCUAAAAGUUUUUUUUAUUAUUAUGUUUAGAUUAAGAAAAGCCUCGUAAUGACAGCAAAAUUCAUCAGAAAAUAUUAGGAGAUGAAUUCAUCGAAAAAUAUUAGGAGAUAAAUCCAUCGGAAAAUAUUAGGAGAUAAAUCCACCUUCCACCAUAAUCUAUUUCUUCCUUGGAAUGAUCACUAACGAGAUUGAAAGGAGACAGAGUAAAAGCAUACAGAAAUCGGUCAAAUGACGUCUCACACAAGAAAAAUCUCCAAAUCCAAGAAAUAGAAAUUAGAAACCCUAACCUUUGAUAACCUCCCCUUUCUUGAGAUCAAUAGUAUAAACCACCACAUCAGUUCCGAUUUUCUGCCAACAAUUCAAUUCGAAUUCAAAACUUCAAAACACCAGCAAAAUUAGAAGAAAAAAAAGUAGAGGAGAGAAAGAGAGAGAUAAUAGACCUUGGGAGAAAUAUUAAGCUGAUAAACAUAGCCGACUUUCUUAGCGAUCUCUUUUCCGGCAUCGGUAGAGAGAUGCUGCUUCAUCUGAUCCAAUAGAGCAUCGGAUUUGAGGGAAGAAUUAGAGGAAUUCGCCAUUGGCAACGACGUGGAGAGCAGAAAAUGAAGAGAGAGAGGUGAAGGAAAAUGGAACGUGGAUGAUGGGAUUUUAACAUUGUGAAAGAGAAAUUGAGAAGAGGAGUAAAUUGAAUAAUGAGUUGAUGGGUCUGACGAACAAACAGCCCCCAAAGCAGCUGCUAUGAACACGCAUCCCAACGCUGAUAAGCACUUUUGUCAUUUAUGGGCCUACUCCAACCUUAACGAACUACAAAACUUUCAUACUUAAUGCUUUUGAUUUUUUCAUCAUUAUUUUAUUUUAGCUUUCUUCCUUUAUCCUCAUAGUUUAUUGGUAUUUUUGGAUGGAAAAAUAGACACAUUAUCAUCCCUAUUCCCUAAUUCCAUAUUUUAUAGUUAACUUUGAUCACAAUUUAUUGCAAACAAAUUGAGAUAGACACCCAAUUGGCGUAUAUAUAAGUUGAAGUCAUGAGGAUAGUUUGAGAUCGACAGUUUAAAUCUUUAGAUCUAUGUCAAUUAAAAGUACGCAAGACUGCCAAUUAAUGAUGGUAGCAUAAACAUGGAUUAAAAACAUAAAGCACAAGUUUGGUAUAAUUAGUUGAAAGUUUUGAUUAUUUAUGAAAUUAAAAUUUUAGACUAAUAUAAACUGUUUGAGUACAGAUGGAGAAGGGGAGAGGAGAAAAUGGAUUCUUGAAACGACAGCCCAAGUCUUGGGCUUGGGCUGGGAUUUGGAUUGGAUGGCAAUCGGCCCACUUAGUGCGGGCUCAUAUUCCCGUCUACAGUUUUCUAAUGGGCUAUCUUCCAAAAUCUCGCUGGAAGGCCUUGAAAGGGAACGGGAAAUGGACUAUGCUGAACCCUGUUUUGCGAGCCAACCAAUUCCCACCUGCCAAAGUUAGCAAAAAUAAACAAAAAAAAUAGUUAUUACUCUCGAAAAGUAGAAGAAGAAGAAAAGGCAAAUAGUCACUAUCUAAACGAAUCGUUUUGACCUGAACUUGGUGACUAGAUGAUGAAUCAUGAUCAAGAUCUCGAGCUUGGCAAGUUCAUUUCCUGGGCAGGCAUGAACUCCACUGCCAAAUGGCAUAAAUGUAUUGGGUUUUGGUGCAACCUGAACAGUAACCCACAUUUUAAUUAAAAUAAUAAAAUAGUAUUUGAAUUUAUAAAGUGUUUAGUUUUAGUUUGAGUUGUUUUUACCUCAAAUCUAGAAGGGUCGAAAUUGUGAGGAUCAGGAAAAUAUUCUGGACUGUGAUGGAUGUUCCGAAACAAAGGCAUCACUUUCCAACCUUUUGGAAUCAAGUAUCCUGUUACACGUCAUUUCACAAAAAAAUUCAUAUUAUUUAUUAUAUUAUUAUGUUCAAACUAAAAGAAAUAAAAUUCAAUUUUAUUUUCUGUUUUUUUUUUUUAUUCUUUUUUCCUUUUACCUUUGUAUUCCACAUCAGCUACAGCCUCUCUAAAAGUGAAUGAUAUAAUGCUGGCCAUCCUUAAGCUCUCCAAUACCAUCUGUGUUUUUAACAAAAAAAUCCACAUAAAUCAAUCUCUUAAAAAUCAUUUAUUAGUUAAUAAUAAUACAAAUUCAUUCAGAAAAUUAACCUUGUAAGUGAUUGGCAUGUUCCUUGUCUGUACCCAAUUUAACCCUUGAUUAUUCUCACAAUUUAAUUUUAAAAUUUCCUCUUGCUCAGCCUGAAAGAAAACCAAAAAAAAUUAUGUAGGUGAAUAGUGAAUAGUGCAUAGUGCACUCAAAAUAUUACUCGUUUUAUAAACUGUCCGUUAUAUUGUGGUGGUCGACUAUACCGAUACGUACCUUUAUGGAUUGACGAAGCUUGGGACGGUCAUGGAGGUACUUAACAAUCCAAGUCAUGACACUGGCAGUGGUGUCUUGAGCAGCAAAAAGCGCUCCUAUUAUGUUAUCUGCUAUUUGGGAAUCACUUAUUUUAACUUCACAUUCAUCAUCAAUGGAAUUGAGAAGGCUCCCCAAUAAAUCCUUUUCUCUCAGCCUUCUUUCUCCCCUCUCAUGAAUUAUGUCACCUAGGAUUUUAUUUAGCCUCUUUCUUGCCUGUUAAGAACACAGAAUUCUUUUAUUUAUAUAUGUUUUUUUAAAAUAAUAAUAAUAAUAAUAAUAACAAUAAUAAGAUAAGAUAAGACAAAUUUUCUUUUUGCCUUUAUUUUAUUUUAUUUUUGUUCUGAAGUUUGACUUACUGAGAGUGCCUUUUUGUAUGGAGUUCCUGGAAUGUUGGUGGGAAAAGAAUUGUAGCCUGCUUCCAAUAUGCUGUAGUUUUUUUUAAGGUCAUCUUUGUAAGCAGCUUCCAAAUGGCCAAAAAUGGUCAAUAUCCCAACUUCAAAUGAUAUCUGAUUAAUUAACAAAAACAACCCUUUGAGUCAUAAUUGACAUGCAUUUUCUUAAAAAAACGAUUCUAGAUUGAUGAAGCUUAUUAACAAACCUUUUUCAUUUCAUGAAAGGUGUUAAUAACACCGGAGGUGGCCCAGGAGUCGAGGGCGGAGGCGGCCACGGAGUCGAUAUCGGGGACUAAGGUACGGAUGGAGUCCAAAGAAAGAGAGCUCUGAACCAGCUUCCUUAGACGGCAAUGGUAAUCACCUUGGUGAAAAAACAGAGCAGAUGGGCCAAUUAAAAGCUCUUUGCUUUUGGGGUAUGUUGGUUUAAACAAAUGAGCCUGUGUCACUAACACAAAUCUCGCUGCCUCAGGACUAGCCAACAUCACACAAGGACAUCCAAGUAUAUGGGUCUUAAAAAUCUCUCCAUACCUUAAAAGAAACACAAAAAGGACAUAGUUCAACAAUUAAGAUAUUUCAUAACUUUGAAAACGAAAAAGAAAAUGUUCGAACCUUUUUUGUUUGGCAGCGAAAAAAAAAUCGGGGUGUUGAGAAUAGAGUUGAAGAGUUUCUCCAAUAUAAGGCCAUCCUAAAGAACCAGGAGGGAGCUUAGUUCCAUCUCUAAUGGCUGCCUUCUUGUCUCUCUUUAAAGAAAUGUACCAUAAUAGAGUGAGAAAAAAGAUCAAAAUAGAUAGAAAAACUACACCCAUUUAAUCUUUCUCUAUAUGAAAUUGAUUAAAUGGUUUUUUUUCUUUUAAAUAUUUGGUUUGUAAUAAUAGUGAUUGUGCCAAAGCAGGGGGGUUUUAUACUGAGGCAGAGGAGGGAAAAAAAAAAAGUGGAGAUGUCAUUUUUGAAGAUACAGAGACCCAAAGUCUGUUACAAAUGGCAAGUUUUUAAGUAUCCAAUAGAAUGAGGACAAAUAUGUAAAAUAAUAUAUCUAUAUUAUGUGUAUCUUAAAAUGCAUGUGUUUCCAAUCUUUUCACCAUACACAAAUAUAAUUAAAAAUUGCUUUUUCUUAAAUUUUAAUUUUGUGUGACAGAAAAAAUAGAAAAUACAUACAAAGUUUUUUUUUCUUUAUAUCAUACAUAUAUAUAUAUAUAAAGAAAAGAUGAUACCAAAGACAAGACCGUGGGGUUCAUUAAACCAAACUUUUUUAUGAUCAGUUACAUUGUGUCUCACCUAGGUAUGAUCCACACAUUAAUUUUGGAUUGAAACUACUAUGUAUUAUGUUAUGUAGCCUUUGGUCAUGUGUGUGUGUAUAUAUAUAUAUAUAUUUCUUUUAUAAUUCUAUAUAUAUUUCAAAAUCAAUAUACAUGAAAAAGGGAAAAUUGGAUAAUUGAUAAACACAAUAAAUAACUUUCCUUAGUUGUGUAUAUUGUGAACACUCAUCACUUAGUGGUCACUUUCAGUUUCAACUCCAUUCAAUUUUACUGACCAUGUCCACGUGUGUCAUUUCCCCCUAAAUUAGUCGAGCGUUAUUUUUUUCUUUUUAAAACAAAAUUUCUUGCCCUGGAAUUUUGUGGGUGGUUUUCUUUUUACCAAAAGAAAUAACAGUCAUCUGAGUAAGAGUUUCUCACGAAAAAACUAACAAAACUCAUCAAUAUUGUAGGAUAGAUGAGUUAUUAUUUUCGUUGUCAAUUGAGUUUGAGAUGAUAUUUUAUUUAAAUCUUAUUAUUGUUGUGUGAUGAAAAUAGAAUGCACAAAAAUGUAACGAUUCUUAGUACGUCAUUUCUAUAGAUAAAUUUUUAUUAUUCUCUUUUAUUACAAAUGUGAUCUAAACUGGAAGGCGUGUGUAAUGAUAAAAAUAACUCAUGUACUAUCUUUAGCAUUAGUGUUUAUGUUGUUUCGUAGUUCGUACAUACUUUUAAUUUCACUAGAUUUGAAGUCAUUUAUUCAUCGUUAAUUAACUAACAAAUAUAUGACGUAAGUCAAAUCAAUUAUAAUAAUUUUAAAUCUCACUUUCAUUGAUUGAACAUGAAAUUAGUUGGCAAACAAAUUCUUUCUUUUUAAAGGACUUUCUUUUUUAUCCUUUUCUUUUAUUCGUCUCCAUGAAGUACUUCACACGACGUUCGCUUGUCGUCCCUUCUCAUGUCUCUCUUUCUCUGGUAUCUUCUCUUUUUUCUUCCAUCUCUACCUUCAGUUGCUAACAUGUGUUGUCGCCAUAUCUUUCUCGUGGCAUUGAAGUUGAACUAACUAUGCAACAUUCAUAAAGCUUGUCCUUAUCGGAAUGAAACUAAAAGCACAAAUUUACACACGUUUUUGCUCAAAGUAAAAAUCAAUCAUAUUAUUUUGUAGGAAUAUAAAAGUUAUUAUUGUUAAAUUACCUUUUGACCCAAAAGUUUAAACUAGCCAUGAAAAUAACAUUAUCCUAUCAUCUAAGAGAUAUACAUGCUAGGUUUCAACCUGAAUGCAUUUUUGGUAAUGGAUCAUGAUAUUACUAAAAAAGAGAAAGUAUAAGGGUAGAGAUUGCCAGAUUGGAUUCUGAUAUACAAGAACUAAAACAAAUACACAGAGAGGAAGAUGAGGAAAGAGUCCAAACAAAAGAUAAGGAUGGAGCUUUGGUAGGAGAGGGUGUUUGUAACUGAAGUGAUUUAAUUUAAAUAAAUGGAAGAAGGCAAAGAAAGUUGUUAAUAAAUUAAGGGAAUGAAUAAGGGAAAAGAAACAGAGAAUAAGGAUGUCAGGACCAUUAAUAAACAGUUCAUUACGUUCCCUUUUUUUCAUGCAUGUCAUGUGUUUCAACCUGUAAACCCUACUAUGUUUCAUACGUACUAAUCUUACGUGGGGCUUUCUCAUUUGUCCUAUUUAAUGGUACUAACAAUAAUCUGUUUAAUACCCUAAACCCUAACCCUUUGUGUAAUAGGGGUUGUAUUUGGGGGCUUAUGCGAGCAACAAAUUACUUUAGAAGACGGUUAUCCAUGUGUGUGGAUUAUAUGAUAACAAUGGGAUUCGAUCUCCAAACUAAAUCACAGUAUAUAUGAGAGAAAUAGCUUAUAUAUUUUAUAAGAAGUGUGAGUCCUCUAUUUGUUUUUCGGUGUCAGAAUUCCAACGUCUGAACAAAGGCUUGGUAUGUUUGAUUAAAUAGAUGGAAGAGAAAUUAUAAAAAAGUAUAUAUAUUGACUGUGGGUACAUUACAUUAAUAAUUUCAUUUUAGAAACAAAUUUGAAAAAAAAAAAAGAGAGAGUUACAAAUACUGUUUAGAAAGUCGAUUGGGAAUGUUCUCUCUUGGAAAGAUGUGGACUGAGAUCGACUUCAAGAGAGACAUUCAUUUAUACCAAAUGGUAAUGUGGGGUUGCUAAAUAGAAUAAUGCAUAUGAUAUAUGGUACCAUUAUAUUUAAUAUUAGACUAUAUACAAACAUAUAUAUAUCACUGGUACACUUCUACAAAUUUCUAUUAAUUAUAGAUUUUUAUCUCCUAUAUAUAUUUAUUAUUGACAGAAUUGUAUUAGAUUUUAUCAUUUGCUAGAAGACUUUCUAUACGUGUCUAUCUUAUUUUCAAUUAUAACUAUGUAUGGGUCAAAAUAGCUCAUAGAAAAACCUUUCCAAAUAAAUUAAAUCAAACAAAUUUUAUAAAUAAAGAAAGAAAUGAUAAAGAAUAGAACAUUUGAUCAAAUGUUUACCCUUUAUAUAAAUCAAAUAUAAUAAAUUUUGGCUUUUAAUAGUUUUGUUAUAAAUAGUUAAUCAAUUUUUACUAUUUUUGAAAAAAAAAAACCAUUUUAAAUAUCAAAUUAUCAAUAAAAUAAAUAUUGUAAAGGAGUAUUUUCAAGUAUAAUAAAAUGAAACUAAAACACUUACCAAAUAUAACCAAGUUGAGUGUAGCCGUUACAUACAAAAUAUAUAGUGAUGUAUUGAUAGAUAAUAAUAAAAGUUUAUCAAUAUCUUUUAUCACAAUAAUUAUUUUUAUUGUAAUAAUUAAGAAGGAAAAAGAAAAUUGAGUUAAUCCCGGGAAAAUUUGUCUAUACACAACUCUCUAGACUCUCUAUCUAUGUAUGGAAUCCAAUUUAUUUUGAAAAAUGAAAAUGUUUGAUGUAUAUAUUUUGAAAACAUGUUUUCCAUUCUUUCAUUAUUUCUCAAAUUUAAUUAAAUGGGAAAACUACCCUUCCCUUCCCUCCUCUCUCAAACACAGAGAAUCUUCGUCCUCUUCGUCCAAUCUGAUGGGAAAAAAUAGUUUCUUAUACACCAUGAAAGAAUAUUAACUUUGAAACUAUAUAGAAUGUUUCUUCGGAAACAAAUGAAAAUGAAAAAGAAAAAAGAAAAAAAGCAUAUUGUAGUAAAUGACGUGCUGUCAAGUGAUAUGGAGGUGGCUUGGGUUUAUCCUACUUGAAGAGUAAUUUUGAACUAAAGGGCAACAGAAAACGAAAUCAAAACUGAGGUUGAGUUAUGAUGGACUAAGGGAGGGGAGGUCUAUUCAUUUGUUGGACGAUAGUUGAGUCCUUGGCACAACCUUCCCUUAGACUCCAAAUCUUGCUUAGCCACAUUCUUAAUUAAUCUCAAGAAUCUACUCAAUUAGGUUAUCAAAUAAUUGAAUUUGAUUUACCUAAAUCAAAUGUGUGGGUUAACUUUAAUCGCAAUCGCAAAUUCUUUAUCUUUCUUAAUCUUACGUUAAAAGAAAACAAAUUUAUUAUUAGUAUCAAAUAAAAGGAUUGUAUUAGCUUUAAAUAUAUAUAUAUAUAUAUAAUUUAAUUUUUAUUUUGUAUUAUCCUCUUAAUAAUUAUCAUGGAAUAAGAUUUUUAUAAAGAAAGAAAGCAUAUUCGUGGAAAAAGAUUUAAUAACUGCUAAGAAAAUUUAGAGUAAUAUAACGUAUUAGAGUUAUUAAAUUACUAAUGUAGAGUUGCAAAUUUGUACCAAUAAUGUGGCCUCAACUGUCGGUGCAACUUUGGUGUGCAUGCACUAUUCAAAUUAUUUAACAAGUAUUUUUCAUUCAUGAAAGAGGUCAUUUUUUCUUAGCAUAUGUUGAAAAAAUUAAAUAACGUAUUUUUUUUUACGUUGGAAUGCAUCCGAGGUUAGUUGAGCUAAUCUUUUUAUAAAAAUAAAAAUAAAUUUUGUUAGAAUGUGUGAGACAUGUUUUUAAAUUUUAAAUAUUUGUUUAGAAUUUUCUGGUAUGUGUCAAACAAGAUUUGAAGUCUCUAUAUUCUUUAAAAGUAGGAAAAUUGCAAUUGAUAAACUAUUUCAACAAUAAUAGUUAAGGAUAUAGCAAAAUUUAAAAAAAAAAUGUAAAUAUAGCAAAACUAUCAUUAAACUUGUAUCGUUGAUAGACUUUGAUAGACUUUGUAUGGUCUAUCAUUGAUAGACCAAUAUUUGCAAUAUGGUAUAUUAGUGAUACACUUAUAUCAUUGAUAAAAUAUUGUUAUAUACUUAAUUAUUUUAAAUCUAAUUGCUAAAUUUGGUACUAUAUCUUAAACUAUGAUUUAAUAAUUUAAUUUUUUUAUCUCAAGAUAAUAAUUUAAAGAAAAGAUUUACUUUGAAGAUUAUGAGUCUCCUCGUUGCAUGGGAUUUGACAAAAUCUUAGUUGCUUAUUUAUAGCCUGCACUUUGGCAUCUUUGGGUGUGCGCAUUGGGUCAAAAUAUUGUUCUGCUGAUUUGAAAUUAAUUUUUGUUAAGUUUCCAAUAUGAAGAAAAGUCUUUCACCUUCAAGAAGAAGAUCAUUCUGAUUAAGGGGAGAUCUCUAUUAAUACAAAAAUAUUAUUGAUUGAUUUAGGGUUUAGUGAGAUAGAAUCACUUAUAAUAAUGUUUAGUAAGAUAGAAUCACUGUAAUAAUAAAAUUGAGCUGUAAAUUAAGUAUACAUAACCAUAAGGAUGUAAUUACGGUUCAUUUUUAAAGUAAUAAAAAAUUUCAUAUCUCGAAUUAAGGAACUUAGACGUAGAUGUUAUGUUAUUAAACUGGGUUAACAAUGUAUGUGUGUAUCUUUGGUUAUUAAAUGAAGUAUAUCUCAAAGAUCAUUUGUUGAUGCAUUCAUUCAUUUAUCAAGUUUUAUAAUUUUAUUAUAUAAUAAUAAUAAAUUAAAAUAAACUAUAAAUAAACAAAUUUAAAUGUUAGUUUUCUCUAACUUUUGAAUUUCAAUGUGAUUAGUGUGUUAAAUCCUUGAAACCUGCCUAGCAAAUCACAAGAAUAAGAAUGAUUUUUUAAAAAAGGAGUAUAUAUAUUUAAAAUUAAUUUUGAACUUUACAAUUUGUAUUUAUUAAAUUACUUUUAAAAAACAACCCUUUAUUUAUAUAUAUAUAUAUAUAUAUAUAUAUAUAUAUAUUAUAUAUAUAUAUAUAUAUAUAAUGUUAAGAUUGAAGUUCUGAAUUUAGAAAGGAAUUGAGAAGUGAGGGUGAAAGUUUUUAUUUAAUGUUGGAUAUUUUUAUGGAUGAGAUAUUGCGUGGUGGGAAUUGGAGUCCAGCUCACGUGUGGGGGAGGGUGCCCUCGAAUUCUUAAGGUUUUCGACCACGACGUCGUUUUAGGAAGUGAAUUCUUUCUUUUUUCUUUUUUCCUAUAACUUCUUUUUAGUGUUUUUUAUCUUUGAGAUUUGAAGUUUCAUAAUUUGUUGUUGUUGUGUUGUGUGGGGCCGAUAAUGUAGACGUGUACGGUAAAGUCAUUUUUAGGGCUCCACGUGGUAUUCUCCUAAGGACGUGGGCCCCAUCUAUGCGGCCACCUUUUUAACUCCCCUCACUUUCCUUUCCUUGCGAUGCCUUCCACCAUCACCUCCCUCUCUGCCACCUCGACUUUUCUUUUGACUUCUUAAACAUCCCUCUGUGGUCCAUUCCCCCCUUUUUCUUUCUACAUUUGAAAAUAAAUUACUUUACAUUUUAAUUUUACUUGCACUCCAUCUCCCUUCAUUUCACAACAAAAACAAAAUUUGUUUAUGUUUGUAUAAUGGAUUAACUAUUAAUUCAUCCCUCUCUAAUACAAUCUAAAAUUCAUGUUUUUUAAUUAGUGUUUUGAACUUGAUUUAUGAUAUUAAACUUAUUCCAUUUUAACGGUUUUCAAACCCUCGACUCCAUCCUAUUUGAAUACAUUUUAACUCCUAAACAAAGUAUGAGGGUAGUACACUUGUAAAAAAACAUGGAUAGGGUGAUAAUAGAAUCUCACCUACACGUGCAAUUGGAACUAUAAAGUUGAGCAAACAUGGUUUUAAUUUUAAUCCUACUUAUUAUUUAUGUUAAUUUUGGAGGUUAGGAAUCAUCUUAUACAUUUUGUUGAAUUUGUUACGUAUAAUUUAAGUUUUUUUUUUAUUACUUUUUUAUUUUUGUAUUUAAAGAAAUAGAAAAAAGAAAAAGAAAAAGCAAACCAGCGUUGGGGUUUUCUUUUUUCUUUACAAAAAUAAUUAUUUGAUUUAUGUCCCACUACUAAAAUUAUUCCAAAAGUAUUAACGUAACCACUUUCUUUUUAAGUUUCAUCAGAAAACAUGAUUUUCUUUGUUGGUAGACAAAGGUAUGCUUUUCAAAACUUAUACAUAAUAAAGUUAUUAAAUUUACGAGAGAGAAAAAACUUAUUACUGAAAAUUAAAUAACCCUAAAUAAUAAUAAUAAUAAUGGAGAAGAUAGGGAGAAGACAAAAUGAAACAUGAAAGUCUUCUGCCUUUGUUUCAGUGAACAAAUCUCUGUAGGAUGCUGGGGGUUGUUGCGCGUGCAAUAUUACUUCCAAUUUCCAAGUAAUCUUCAUAAUGUUCAUUGAAUAUAAUCACAACCAAACCAUUCUAGCCAUUCUUUUUUAAUUCAAUAUAUUUAAAUUCAACAACCAAAUCCAUCUAUAUGAUUAAAAAGUUAAAAUAGGAUGAAUAUGGUUUCGAGUAAUAAAUUGAGACACACAAUCAAAUGCGAAACAUCAUUUCAUGUCUCGUAUCCAUUUCAACGACAGACAGUACUGGAUGUCGAUAUCACUUCAAACUUAAAACGGGAGAAGAAGGAUCCAAGAGAGUACAAAUGCACGUGUUUGUCCCCAUUGGAGAUGAAGUUAUAUAUAUAUAAAAUAUAAUGUUGGAGUGGUAAAGGUUAUUAGGGAUGGGGAUCUAAAUUGAUAUCGUAGAGAGAAGAGGUGAAGAUUUGAGAAAUGAU
Molecule: long non-coding RNA, 39209 nt
Filed under: Cucumis sativus (cucumber)
Lineage: Eukaryota; Viridiplantae; Streptophyta; Magnoliopsida; Cucurbitales; Cucurbitaceae
Description: long non-coding RNA (CSAT_LNC001708)
Source: RNAcentral